GAUGAACGCUGGCGGCGUGCCUAAUAUAUGCAAGUCGAGCGAACAGACGAGGAGCUUGCUCCUCUGACGUUAGCGGCGGACGGGUGAGUAACACGUGGAUAACCUACCUAUAAGACUGGGAUAACUUCGGGAAACCGGAGCUAAUACCGGAUAACAUGUUGAACCGCAUGGUUCAACAGUGAAAGACGGUUUUGCUGUCACUUAUAGAUGGAUCCGCGUCGCAUUAGCUAGUUGGUAAGGUAACGGCUUACCAAGGCAACGAUGCGUAGCCGACCUGAGAGGGUGAUCGGCCACACUGGAACUGAGACACGGUCCAGACUCCGACGGGAGGCAGCAGUAGGGAAUCUUCCGCAAUGGGCGAAAGCCUGACGGAGCAACGCCGCGUGAGUGAAGAAGGUCUUCGGAUCGUAAAACUCUGUUAUUAGGGAAGAACAAAUGUGUAAGUAACUAUGCACGUCUUGACGGUACCUAAUCAGAAAGCCACGGCUAACUACGUG
This 497-nucleotide ribosomal RNA is filed under the name uncultured bacterium. Its description in RNAcentral is "partial 16S ribosomal RNA". It matches the Rfam family "Bacterial small subunit ribosomal RNA", at positions 28 to 507 of the family's 1533-position model. The record is from RNAcentral.